Molecule: long non-coding RNA, 560 nt
Filed under: Anas platyrhynchos platyrhynchos (common mallard)
Lineage: Eukaryota; Metazoa; Chordata; Aves; Anseriformes; Anatidae
Description: lncRNA (ENSAPLG00000023739.1)
Source: RNAcentral
CUGUUCAGCUGUGUAUCUGUUUAUGUUCUCUGUGAUGGGUCAAACAAUGAAUAGGACCCAGCUGUGUUUUCAUGCAGAGGACAGCUGAAAAGGUUUGAGCCUCUGAGGGAGCACUAGCUGAGAUUUGUUAGCAUAAUGCUGCCCACAGGGUUCCCAUGUGUUCAAGAAACUCUUACGAGAGAUGACCACAACCCCCUGAACUUGGAACCCCGUCUAGUGCCUGCAGGGUCCCACUGCUGGACAUGGGACUACCAGCAGCACAAGAUGGAGUGGAGUGACCUGUUUACAGCCCCUCACUGCUCAGGAUUAGUAUUUCCAACUUAUUUCAUAAAAAAUGACAGAACCUGCACCCACAGAAAAAUGUUGACAAACUGAAUGGUAGGUGCCAAGAGCCACAGCUCUGAGUGGCAUCACCUGGAUCUGCCCCUGUUUGUUUGCAGACACCUGGCAGAUGAAAUUUAAGAAAACCCUUAAACUUGGAGCACACCAGGAGGUCACUGGAAUACCUCCAGCUCCAUGAGACUCUGAUAGAAAUAAAACGAUGGGCCAGAUCCUCUCCA